GUGGGGAAUAUUGCACAAUGGGGGAAACCCUGAUGCAGCAACGCCGCGUGAGUGAUGACGGCCUUCGGGUUGUAAAGCUCUGUCUUCAGGGACGAUAAUGACGGUACCUGAGGAGGAAGCCACGGCUAACUACGUGCCAGCAGCCGCGGUAAUACGUAGGUGGCAAGCGUUGUCCGGAUUUACUGGGCGUAAAGGGAGCGUAGGCGGACUUUUAAGUGAGAUGUGAAAUACCCGGGCUCAACCUGGGUGCUGCAUUUCAAACUGGAAGUCUAGAGUGCAGGAGAGGAGAGUGGAAUUCCUAGUGUAGCGGUGAAAUGCGUAGAGAUUAGGAAGAACACCAGUGGCGAAGGCGACUCUCUGGACUGUAACUGACGCUGAGGCUCGAAAGCGUGGGGAGCAAAC
Molecule: ribosomal RNA, 402 nt
Filed under: uncultured bacterium
Lineage: Bacteria
Description: bacterial SSU rRNA
Rfam family: Bacterial small subunit ribosomal RNA
Source: RNAcentral